Manis pentadactyla (Chinese pangolin) is the source of this 725-nucleotide long non-coding RNA. RefSeq lists it as uncharacterized. The record is from RefSeq and is a predicted model, not a curated record. The transcript has 3 exons. Lineage: Eukaryota; Metazoa; Chordata; Mammalia; Pholidota; Manidae.
CUGCUCCAGCGGCGCCCAUGGCUGCCUUCCAGCUGGGCCUGGAUGCUGUGCUGUCGUGGACCCCGCCCUGCACGUUCAUGUCUGCAUCUGGAGGCCCCGCGCCUGCUGGCUGUCGGCCUACUACAGCAAGGCAGACUUUCUCAGCCCAGCGAAGGCAUUGGCUCUGGAAACAAGAAGUUAGGGAGGUCUCAAGAAGCCAGUGGGCACAAAUAUCAGUACCCACUUUCCUGAGAGAAAACUGAAGCACACAAGACGAACUUGCACAGGAUUUCCCAGCUAGAAACUGCAGAGGCAGGAGAAACGCGAAGUGCACUCGGCAGUCAUCUGGGCUGGCGCCCUCUAGAGGAAAAAACUACCAGUUCCCACUGAGAGGCCUUGAGAAGGAGAGAGUGCAUGGAAAAAUGUGCCAGAAGAAACUGUAAACAGAGGAAGGCUCGUCGGUGCCUGCGCAUCUCCUCGGGCCUCCUUUUGCUGGGACUGGCCCGCCGCUCCCUGCCCUGAGCUCCUGCAGGCUGACCACGGGACACCGGCCCGCAGCCGCCCCGCGAGGCUCCUGCCUGGGAAAGCAGCUCCAGUUACACAUUAGUCACAAAAAUAACAAGGAUCAAAGGGAGCAAAAGGCAUGGAACGGCUUCAUUUUCCCAAUUUAAUUGCAGGACUGGACGAUCCAUUUAAAUCUGUAAGGAGCCUGAUCCUAACAUGUUUUAGAAGAGUUGAAUAAAGUA